Molecule: RNA transcript, 1807 nt
Organism: Eucalyptus grandis
Lineage: Eukaryota; Viridiplantae; Streptophyta; Magnoliopsida; Myrtales; Myrtaceae
Gene name: transmembrane protein 120 homolog
Exons: 10
Source: RefSeq, a predicted model, not a curated record
UUCUGCUUUGACUCUCUCUGUCCUUCUCUCUGAUGCAGACAGGACAGGACACCGCUGCCACGUGGCCGACGCGCGUGCCUCCAUCGAUGCAAUCUCCCGCCUCGCUUCCCGCACGUACUCCGGACAACGCGCACGCGCGGGGGGGGACGUAACCGGUGGCGAUCUCUCUCCGAGCGGAACAUAACGGUCGCGGUCGAUGGCGGACGGCGGCGGCGGCGGGGCGGCGGCGAGGAGGGCGGAGGAGGAGGAGGAGGGGGCGCGGAUGGAGCAGGAGGUGCGGCGGGCGGUGGAGCAGGCGAAGGAGCUCCAGGACGCCGCCGCCGCGCACGUGGCCGCCGCGUCGAGCGAGGAGGGCUCGAUCCGGCAGCGCACGCUCGCGCUCGACUCGUCCAUCCGCCGCCUCCGGGCCUCCGUCGGCGCCCAGGCGGGCGGCGGGCUGCUGGACCCGAAGCUCGCGGAGAGGCUCGAGGAGGAGCUGCAGCGGGCCGGGUGCAUCGUCGCCGACGGGGACGCGUCGUCGUUCCUUCCGGCGAAAGCUCAAGGCGGCUUCGUGAGGAUGUUCCUGGGCCCGAUCAACGUGCGCGCCUCGAGGAAAGAGGUGCAGCUGAAAGUCAAGGAGGAGUAUAACAGCUACAGGGAUAGAACUGCUCUCCUCUUUCUCAUUUUCCCAUCAGCACUUCUAGUGUUGAGAUCUUGGCUGUGGAAUGGAUGUUUUCCAGCAUUUCCUGUUCAGCUGUACCAGGCAUGGCUGUUAGUCCUCUACACUGGUUUGGCAUUGAGAGAAAACAUACUAAGCAUCAAUGGAAGUGACAUUAGGCCCUGGUGGAUAUAUCAUCACUACGGUGCAAUGAUUAUGGCCCUUGUCAGCCUAACAUGGGAGAUCAAAGGACAACCAAACUGUGCUCAAAAGCAGAGAGGUGUACAACUUUUCCUUCAAUGGGCCAUAAUGCAAGGAGUUGCUAUGCUUCUCCAGAAUAGAUAUCAACGCCAGAGACUUUACACUCGCAUUGCACUGGGCAAGGCUAAGAGAAUGGAUGUAGUCUGGGGAGAAACUGCAGGUGUGGAUGGCCAAUUAUGGCUUCUUUGUCCUAUACUUUUCAUUAUGCAGGGUUUUGAGGCAUAUGUGGGGUUCCUGCUGCUCCGAACUGCAAUGGUUGGGGUAGUUUCUGAAUGGCAGGUGAUAUUCUGUGGGAUCCUGCUGGUUCUGAUGGCCGUCGGGAACUUCGCGUACACAGUACAGACUCUGAUGGUUAAGUCGAGGUUCAAGGCAAAGAUGAAGAGUGAACGGAGAUCAAGCAGGAGCUAGAUUAGGCGCCUUGAGCUAGUAUGAUCUUUACGAAGCUCCCUGAUCGUCUUUUCGCAUUCUCUUCCCCCCUCAUGUAUUCGUUUCUGGACACGCUAGGCUAACUUCAGAUAUCAACAGCAAAAAUGGCAAAAGAACGAAUCAUAUCCUUGGUCAGACCGUAUAUCAACUAGUCGAAAGUCCCUCUUUUAAGAACAGAUUGAAUCAUCACACCUCGUUGUAACCUCCCUACUGCAUUCGUCAUGUACGCCUCUUCUUCGGGGCAAGAGAAGAGCAUCAUGCCUGCAGCUUGGAGAUGCGCUCCCUGGGACAUCUAUAUCUUCCGCUAACCCUCAGGUCGGCACACAGUUGGGACACCUUCAUACCCGAAUGGCCUGUAAUGGCGUUUAUGAGCUUUUAAGAGACAAUGGGUGUGUCUGGAAAGACUUUUGUGAAAGUUCUUGAGAAAAUGUAAAGAACCUUGAGUUAAAGGAGUUCUUCAAAAUGCAAAUUGUGUUUGGUAAA